UAGGGAAUAUUGCACAAUGGGCGAAAGCCUGAUGCAGCAAUGCCGCGUGUGUGAAGAAGGCCUGAGGGUUGUAAAGCACUUUCAAUAGUGAAGAAAAGCAUAAGGUUAAUAACCUUAUGUGUUGACGUUAACUAUACAAGAAGCACCGGCUAACUCCGUGCCAGCAGCCGCGGUAAUACGGAGGGUGCAAGCGUUAAUCGGAAUUACUGGGCGUAAAGCGCGCGUAGGCGGUUUAGUAAGUCGGAUGUGAAAGCCCAGGGCUUAACCCUGGAAUUGCAUUCGAUACUGCUUGACUAGAGUAUGGUAGAGGGAAGUGGAAUUUCAAGUGUAGCGGUGAAAUGCGUAGAUAUUUGAAGGAACACCAGUGGCGAAGGCGACUUCCUGGACCAAUACUGACGCUAAGGUGCGAAAGCGUGGGGAGCGAACAGG
This 429-nucleotide ribosomal RNA is filed under the name uncultured bacterium. RNAcentral's name for it is "bacterial SSU rRNA". It matches the Rfam family "Bacterial small subunit ribosomal RNA", at positions 355 to 776 of the family's 1533-position model. The record is from RNAcentral.